This 70-nucleotide small RNA is filed under the name uncultured Caulobacter sp. RNAcentral describes it as "Makes More Granules Regulator RNA (mmgR)". It matches the Rfam family "Makes More Granules Regulator RNA (mmgR)". Rfam says of the family: SuhB later renamed mmgR (makes more granules regulator) was a putative non-coding RNA found multiple times in the Agrobacterium tumefaciens genome and related alpha-proteobacteria. Other non-coding RNAs uncovered in the same analysis include: speF, ybhL, metA, and serC. Several studies inSinorhizobium meliloti showed that suhB element is indeed a non-coding RNA:firstly it was detected on Northern blot and called Sm8RNA, secondly in an RNAseq study referred to as SmelC689. The record is from RNAcentral. Lineage: Bacteria; Pseudomonadati; Pseudomonadota; Alphaproteobacteria; Caulobacterales; Caulobacteraceae.
CUUCUGCCCUUCCUGGGCGUUUCCUCCCUAAUGAACUGGCCCGGUGGUUUCACCGGGCUUUUUUUUGGCC